Molecule: ribosomal RNA, 465 nt
Filed under: uncultured bacterium
Lineage: Bacteria
Description: partial 16S ribosomal RNA
Rfam family: Bacterial small subunit ribosomal RNA
Source: RNAcentral
CCUACGGUCGGCAGCAGUGGGGAAUUUUGGACAAUGGGCGCAAGCCUGAUCCAGCUAUUCCGCGUGUGGGAAGACGGCCUUCGGGUUGUAAACCACUUUUGUAGAGAACGAAAAGUCUAUUGAUAAUACCGAUAGACGAUGACGGUACUCUAAGAAUAAGCACCGGCUAACUACGUGCCAGCAGCCGCGGUAAUACGUAGGGUGCUAGCGUUAAUCGGAAUUACGUGGCGUAAAGGGUGUGCAGGUGGGUUUGCAAUAUGUAUGUGCAAGCCCCGGGCUUAACCUGAGAAAGCCAUACAUGACUGCAAGACUAGAGUGCGUCAGAGGUAAGUGGAAUUCAGGGUGUAGCGGUGGAAUGCGUAGAUAUAUGGAAGAACACCAGUGGCGAAGGCGGCUAUCUGGUCUGCAACUGACGCUGAGGCUCGAAAGCAUGGGUAGCGAACAGGAUUAGAUACCCUAGUAGUC